UACGUAGGGUGCAAGCGUUAAUCGGAAUUACUGGGCGUAAAGCGUGCGCAGGCGGUUUUGUAAGUCUGAUGUGAAAUCCCCGGGCUCAACCUGGGAAUUGCAUUGGAGACUGCAAGGCUAGAAUCUGGCAGAGGGGGGUAGAAUUCCACGUGUAGCAGUGAAAUGCGUAGAGAUGUGGAGGAACACCGAUGGCGAAGGCAGCCCCCUGGGGUCAAGAUUGACGCUCAUGCACGAAAGGCGUGGGGAGCAAACAGG
This 255-nucleotide ribosomal RNA is filed under the name uncultured bacterium. RNAcentral's name for it is "partial 16S ribosomal RNA". It matches the Rfam family "Bacterial small subunit ribosomal RNA", at positions 524 to 776 of the family's 1533-position model. The record is from RNAcentral.